AUUCUGCCAGGAAUCCAGCUGACCGAAUUACCCACACUUGCCCACCUUAGGCCUUCAUUCGCAGCAGGCAUGUGUGCCUGGGUUUGUUACCAGCAGCCAUUUUCUCACCCUUAAAUGAGGGAUGGGUCUCCCCUUUUCUUUUUCUCAUUUUCCUAGAGGUUACAAGAUUCCUGUUUUUCUCACCAGGAGGAGAGGUCAGCCUCAGUGAGCUCAUAGCAGUCAUACAUUGCCAGUGUUUUUCCUCAAGUGGAAGGAGAAAGGCCUUCAGAAAAAAAAUCGUAUGCAAACCUAGUGCUACCACCAGCAGUAGCUCUGAAUCGAGAUUUUUGGGAGAAUUAGGCUUACUAAAGAUAAACUACAAUAAGUCUCAAGGAAGCAAAUAAUUCUGAUUCUAAUGAGGAAUCCAAGAAUAAAGGCAGCUCUUAAGGUACGGAAGUGAACUGUCUGUGGGUGACUUGCCUGGAUGCCGGCUAUAGCUGCAGCCCCCAAAGUCGAAGCUACCAGAACAGGUUGGAUGAGGAUGGCCCAAAGAUUAUGGAGUUGCUGGCCCCAAAGCAAGUCAGACACUAUGGGAAGUUUGCAUGAAUCAUGCCCUUGGAUAGACAACCUAAAUCAUACCUCAUCGAGCAUGGAUCCUGGUCAGCAUACCAAGUCAAGGCAAGUAAAGACUGAAGAAAUAUCACCUGGUCUGCAGCUCCCCCCAGAACGAAGUCUGCUACUGAUGGCAGAAGCAUAGAUAGACCAAGGGUAUCACUAUGUAAUGAUGGAAGAAGGAAAAACCCCAUGCAUUCACUCAUGUCUUGAAUCACCUAGAGAAGAGAGGGAAUCUGCCAAAGUGGACACAAUAGAAAUUCAGUUCUAAAUUUGGAGGAAAUGAGGCCCACUCUCAGAUAAGAUGAAAAGUAAAAGCCCUAGGAUCCAAUGGGGUAUUAAACAAAUAUUUAAAAGUA
Molecule: long non-coding RNA, 950 nt
Filed under: Homo sapiens (human)
Lineage: Eukaryota; Metazoa; Chordata; Mammalia; Primates; Hominidae
Description: non-protein coding RORA-AS2:2
Source: RNAcentral